GAAAAACAACAGAUAUUAGAAAUAACACUUUUAAAGCAUCUUUUAAAUUUCUAUGCCCCUUUCAGACAACCUUCCUCCCUCCCCCCUCCCCCACCCUCCUUGAUGCAGUGAUUGACAACAAGGGAGGCCCCUCUCAGAGGAGUACUAAGGAGCGUAUUUGUUUGGAAUUUAGAGGGUUGACCUAGGAGUGGUAGAACUGCUUAUCUUCAUUCCUUCAGAAAACUCAAUAAACCAUUCUUGUCUGCUCCCUGAGAAAAUUUCAGGUUGUGUGACAGUGGGAGAAAGAAAUCCUCAAUUUAUGGGCACAGUAAUAUAAUUAUGUGUGGCUUAACUAAGCUACUAGCAAGUAUGUAGUACAGGGUUAAAAGCAAAAUAGCCAGGUAGGUAACCUGGCAAACCACAAAGUAAAAGAACUUCAUUUGGCUGUGUUACAGCUUUGUGGGAUCGUUCUUCUUAUUAAUCAGUCUGUCCUUUUCCUGUGAAAGGUAGAUAUACUUUAACCAGGCAUCAUCUAGCAGCCACAGCGAGAUGUGAAGGGAAUGUCAGGUGGUGGAGCUUGCCCAGGUUCAAACAUCAGUUCAAGAGCAGACGCAGGUUCCUUGGACUUCGUGUGGAAAGGAUUCUCUCUCCUUACUAAGAUGAAAGAGGAUCGAGAAUAGAUGAGGCUUUGUGUAUCCUGAGUGCUCACGGACAACACACAGAAGCAUUUGUUUCAUAGGCAGCCUUCACUGGGGAAAAGUUGUCAGUUUCUCUGCAGAUAUGCCCGUAUGGGAUUAUACACCAAGUAAAAGGCAACGCCUGCUUCUCAAGGUAACUAAAAAAUAGGCGCUUCUGGCUGAGGAGGUCUUCUCAUGUUUGCAGCCCAGAAGCCCUUCUCGCUGUGAUUUCCCAGGAGCAGCUGCUGAAACGUUUGUGUGUGUGCGCAACGGCCCAUCUUCCCCUCAUCUGCGCUGCCACAACUUGGAGCCUCACGAGCUGGGAUAACCACAGUGCUGACAAGCAUUCAGACAGCGCGGGAUCUCGUGACUUGCUCCGCACCAAGAGGGCUGUUAUGAACGUGAAGACGGCUUGAAGCCUUCCUCUCCAGCAAUAAACUACAUUCCAAACAACGCGUUCCGUCUCGGUUCUCUGUAACUUUUAGGGGGAGCCGAGCGGCGCGCGCACAGCGGGGCGGGGCGGGAAGCGCAGGGCCCGCC
This is a non-coding RNA of Phasianus colchicus (ring-necked pheasant), 1196 nucleotides long. The record is from RefSeq and is a predicted model, not a curated record. NCBI's taxonomy places the organism in Eukaryota, Metazoa, Chordata, Aves, Galliformes, Phasianidae.